AAAAACAUGUCUUCUUGAUUUUUAUAUGAGGUUUAACCUGCCCAAUGAUUAAAUUAAAUGGCCGCAGUAUUUUGACUGUGCAAAGGUAGCAUAAUCAUUAGUUUCUUAAUUAGGAACUGGAAUGAAUGGUUUGAUGAGAAAUAGACUGUCUUUGUUUAAUUUUAAUAGAAUUUUAUUUUUGAGUGAGAAAGCUUAAAUUUUAUAGAAAGACGAGAAGACCCUAUAGAGUUUUAUAAAUGGUACUAUAAGUUAUUAUAGGAUUUUUGUUUACUUAUUUUAUUAUUUAUUUUGUUGGGGUGACAUAAAAAUUUAGAAAACUUUUUAUUAUUUUAACGUGGAUAACUGGAUUGUUGAUCCUUUGCUUUGGAUUAUAAGAUUAAAUUACCUUAGGGAUAACAGCGUAAUUUUUUUUGAAAGUUCUUAUUGAUAAAAAAGUUUGCGACCUCGAUGUUGGAUUAAAAUUAACUGUUGGUGUAGUAGCUAGACAGUUGGGUCUGUUCGACCUUUAAAAUUUUACAUGAUCU
Molecule: ribosomal RNA, 524 nt
Filed under: Strongylium sp. 1 GJK-2017
Lineage: Eukaryota; Metazoa; Arthropoda; Insecta; Coleoptera; Tenebrionidae
Description: partial 16S ribosomal RNA
Rfam family: Bacterial large subunit ribosomal RNA
Source: RNAcentral